This 451-nucleotide long non-coding RNA is filed under the name Lynx pardinus (Iberian lynx). The record is from RNAcentral. Lineage: Eukaryota; Metazoa; Chordata; Mammalia; Carnivora; Felidae.
GUGGGCCGCCACGGCGCUGGGGAGCAUAGUGCGGCGCCCGCGGGCCGCCUGCGCGCCCGCCUCCAGCUCCGCGCGCCGCACCGGGCCCGCGCCGCUCCCUCCCGCCGCUGCCUCCCGCCGCAGCCUCCCGUGGAACCGGAGCGCGCUGAGCCCGGGAAGGAGGAGAGGGCACCGAGGACGCCAGCAGGCUUGGAGCGAUAUUAUUUUUUGGGGUUGGGCGUUUUCUUAAAGGAUGGGAGGAGUGAAUGUGGGAGGGGGAAGCUGUGCGUGUCUCUGGCCCGCGGCGCAAGCUCUGGGGGCGCCGGGGGAGUCCCUCCCGCUCCCUUUGCAGUUCCGGAUGGUCUCUCUCUCUCUCUCUCUCUCUCUCUCUCUCAGAAGGCUGGAAGGUGUGUCCAGCCCAUCCAUUCAUGUCACCCGGCCCACAAAGUGACAGACGCGGCCAACAAUAAGG